This 407-nucleotide unclassified non-coding RNA is filed under the name uncultured Piloderma. RNAcentral's name for it is "sequence contains ITS2". The stretch from base 1 to 155 matches the Rfam family "5.8S ribosomal RNA". The record is from RNAcentral. Lineage: Eukaryota; Fungi; Basidiomycota; Agaricomycetes; Atheliales; Atheliaceae.
AACUUUUAGCAAUGGACCACUUGGCUCUCGCAUCGAUGAAGAACGCAGCGAAAUGCGAUAAGUAAUGUGAAUUGCAGAUUUUCAGUGAAUCAUCGAAUCUUUGAACGCACCUUGCGCUCCUUGGUAUUCCGAGGAGCAUGCCUGUUUGAGUGUCAUUAAAUUCUCAACUCCGAUUCGAUUUGUUUCGACCUCGGAGCUUGGACUUUGGAGCGUGCUGGCGUCGGUCGGCUCCUCUCAAAUGCAUCAGCGGAAUCUAACGUUUCGGACGUCAGUGUGAUAAUCACGUUGCGAUGUCGACCGAUCCUGAAAGCCCGCUCAUAAUGGUCUUCGGACAACUUCAUAUCAAAUUUGACCUCAAAUCAGGUAGGACUACCCGCUGAACUUAAGCAUAUCAAUAAGCGGAGGCU